Molecule: transfer RNA, 79 nt
Filed under: Planctomycetaceae bacterium
Lineage: Bacteria; Pseudomonadati; Planctomycetota; Planctomycetia; Planctomycetales; Planctomycetaceae
Description: tRNA-Arg
Rfam family: tRNA
About the family: Transfer RNA (tRNA) molecules are approximately 80 nucleotides in length.
Source: RNAcentral
GCGCCAGUGGGAGAGCGUGGAAGGAUUUGGCAACGGAUUUCUAAUCCGUCAGUCGGGGGUUCGAAUCCCUCCGGGCGUG